CCCUUAGAUGUUCUGGGCCGCACGCGCGCUACACUGAUGCAUUCAACGAGUCUAAAACCUGCUCUGAUAGGGGUGGGUAAUCUUUUGAAUGUGCAUCGUGAUUGGGAUAGAUGAUUGCAAUUUUUCAUCUUCAACGAGGAAUGCCUAGUAAACGCAAGUCAUCAGCUUGCAUUGAUUACGUCCCUGCCCUUCGUACACACCGCCCGUCGCUCCUACCGAUUGAAUGAUCCGAUGAAUAUCAUGGAUUGAGGAUUAUAGCAGGUUCGCCUGUCUUGAUCUUCGAGAAGUGAAGUAAAUCUUAUCAUUUAGAGGAAGGAGAAGUCGUAACA
Molecule: ribosomal RNA, 329 nt
Filed under: uncultured eukaryote
Lineage: Eukaryota
Description: partial 18S ribosomal RNA
Rfam family: Eukaryotic small subunit ribosomal RNA
Source: RNAcentral